UCGGAGUUCAGUCUUCCCAGGCCCACCACUUUCAUCGAGUGAGCAUUCGUCUUCUGGUUACGGGGCCAUAGCUCAGCUGGGAGAGCGCGUGCUUUGCAAGCAUGAGGUCGUCGGUUCGAUCCCGUCUGGCUCCACCAGAUGGUUUGAUCACCGAGAUCUUGUACCGUCGUCCGCGAAACAUCACUUCGCAUCCUGCUAGUCUGGAUAGACAGCAAGAUGCGUGUUUUCUGACAUCGUAAAGAGGAGAUCGAUCCGAGUUGGGUCGUGCAGCGGAUUGUUGCGCGAAUCCUUCAUUAUCUCCGGAUCAUUUUCGGCGCUCGCUUUCAGCCGUGAGGUUGAAUGCGAGUUGUAAAAUGAUCCUUUUAGCGAAGCUUGACCGCCUCGCUAUCGGAACGAUCUUACGAAGCAAGCUGGUCUUUCUAGUCAAUGUCCGGCUGUGCGUAGCGUUCAUCGAGGGCGCGUGCCGUAAGGCAAUCGUACAGACAACAUUCUGCCGAGUGUGUGGACAUUGAUAAUGAGAGCAAUCAAGUGCCUUAAGGGUGUUCGGUGGAUGCCUUGGCGCUGAGAGGCGAUGAAGGACGUGCUACGCUGCGAUAAGCCGUGGGGAGCUGCGAAGAAGCUUUGAUCCGCGGAUUUCCGAUG
Molecule: unclassified non-coding RNA, 642 nt
Filed under: Bradyrhizobium sp.
Lineage: Bacteria; Pseudomonadati; Pseudomonadota; Alphaproteobacteria; Hyphomicrobiales; Nitrobacteraceae
Description: partial 16S-23S ribosomal RNA intergenic spacer
Rfam family: Bacterial large subunit ribosomal RNA (bases 523-642)
Source: RNAcentral